AUGGCCUCUCCGUCACCUUGCGGCCUCUCUGUCUCACAGGGAAUGAAUAGGAGCUCCGGCCAAGGCCAUGGACGCCACCAGCAGAAGCUCUGCCUCAGAUCUUGCGACCUCGUCGACCGGAUCCAGCAGGUCCCCGCCGCUGCGCCAAGAUCCUCCCCUCCCUCCCAGAGAGGCCCUCUCUCCCACACGCUCUGCAUCCGCUACGGCCGUCGCAGCUUCCACCUCCAGAAGAGCAUCUGUUCCUCGUGCGAUUACCCGUCCGCCCGCAUCCACAAGUAUGCUUGUGCAAAAUUACUGCUGUACUGGCCAGAAUUCAGUGCUAAAGAUCACUUCAUGUAUGUGUUCUCUCAAAAUUCAGUUAUGCUCUAG
Molecule: ribosomal RNA, 369 nt
Filed under: Triticum aestivum (bread wheat)
Lineage: Eukaryota; Viridiplantae; Streptophyta; Magnoliopsida; Poales; Poaceae
Description: partial small subunit ribosomal RNA
Source: RNAcentral